ACCUGGCCAGAAGCGGCACUCUUUCAACUGCAGGACUGCUCCUAGACCACAGCCUGGUCAAUGUUCAACCAUCUGGAGCUACAGGAGAGGACAGAUGCUGUGCUGUCUUAUAGUAGACACUAUAUAAACUGUCACUGUGGAUAAGCGGCGCUGGGUCUAUCCUAACCAAAAACCGUGGCUGACCUGAGAGCCCAAGGCACUUAUGAGGGUCUGAAACUCUACCUUCCACUUGGGGGAUUUAGAGCAAUGCAGCAGGACUAGAUCAUACCUCAGGAGAGGCAUUAAGGCUGCGAAAGUGGAGUAAAUGAGGAAAGUGGAUAUGUACUUAGACAACAGAGACACGGUGGGUGUGGCAAGGCAUCCAACACCCGACGAGUUACAAAAAUAACUUAUCUGCGGCCAACAACACGGAAGACUCUUUAGCGGAGGAGCUCAAUCACUUCUUUGCCCGUUUCAAGUCAUCCAAACCAACCACACUCCAGAUGCCCCGCCUAUCCUCUACUCAUCAACUGCUCAUCCUCCAAGAACACCAGGUGAGGCGGUCACUGUAGGCUAUAAACCCGCGUAAAGUGGCUGGGUCGUAUGGCAUAUCGGGCAAGGUGUUCCGGGACUGUGCAGACCAACUGGUGGCGGUACUAACACAGAUAUUCAAUUAAUUCCUGGCACAAGCCCAAGUCCUGCCCUGACUUAAGGCAGCCACUGUCAUUCCAAUCCCCAAAAGGACAGCCAUAAAUGACUUAAAUGAUCACAGAACAGUAGCAUUGACGUCUGUGUUAAGAAGUGUUUUGAAAGGCUUGUUUUCCAAUCAAUCAAAGCCUGCCUCUCCCAAAACUUUGAUCCUCACCAGUUUACCUAUACGGGCUAAACCGGCCCACAGAGGACACCAUCACCACUGCUCUCCACUCAGCUGGAGAACAUCUGGAUACAAUUCAAUUCUAUACCAUAAUCCCCGACAUCCUGGUGGAAAAGCUGAGCUUCCUGGGUCUACCUCCUCUCAUCUGUUCCUCCUUUCUGCCCGACCGACCUCAGGUUGUUGAGGUGGAUCAGCUAUGCUCCUCCACACUCUCAGUCAGCACUGGCUCCCCUCAGGGCUUUGCGUUGAGCCCCUUCCUGUUCAUACGUGUGCCUGUGUCCCCAUUCAUCCCUCGAACACCAUCAUUAAGUUUGCUGGCGACACCACAGUGGAGGGCCAGAUCAAGUGGGGGUGAUGAAACAGCCUACAGAGAGGAAAUGCCAGGGUUGUGCACCAAAAAUAACCUGAGGCUGAACAUUACAAAGACCAAAGAGAUUGUCAUUGAUAUUAAAAGACAGCAAGGGGAACAGCCCCACUUGUGGUAAAUGGAUGUGUGGAGGCAGUGACCUCCUUUAAGUUCCUUGGAACUUUCAUCUCGGAGGACCUCACUGCCAACACUUCAGCACCGGUCACAAAGGCACAGCAGAGACUCCACUUCUUUCGUGUGCUGCAGAGGAACCAACUUGGGGAGAAACUAAAAGAAGGCUCUGCAAAGGGUGACCGAGACAGCAGAGAAGAUUAUAGUCCGCCCUCUACCCUCCCUGGAGGACAUUGCUCGAUCUCGCGGCCUCGGAUGAGCAAAGAAAAUCCUGGCAGACAACUCUCGCUCUGGUCAGCACUUGUUCAACCUGCUGCCAUCAGGGAAGAGAGUUUGGUCACACAAGAGCAGGACAGAGGACUGACCAUCCUUGAGCCAGCUUAGGGUGGGAGGGGGUACUCCCUCUGCCAGGCACUCCAGCUCCAGUGGGCUGUUAACUGCAAUGGUCAGCUCCUCUGGGGUGCCCUCAGAGCGGGAUAUCCUUGGAGGCUCUGGAUUAUGAUAAGGAAAGGUAUUAUGACUGAAAUGGUCAAAACAGAUUUAGGUAUUAGGUUGCAAAAACAGAUAAUUCCUGUUGUUUAUUCAUAAAGAACAUUCCUUUAUUGUGUAUGCAAGGUUAUAUUCACCACACAACAUAGUAUAAAACCACAAAUAGUUUAGGAUAUUUAGAUGUUUUGGAGUUACCUAGUAUGGUGA
Long non-coding RNA from Entelurus aequoreus (snake pipefish), 2027 nucleotides. RefSeq lists it as uncharacterized. The record is from RefSeq and is a predicted model, not a curated record. NCBI's taxonomy places the organism in Eukaryota, Metazoa, Chordata, Actinopteri, Syngnathiformes, Syngnathidae. The transcript is spliced from 3 exons.